Molecule: unclassified non-coding RNA, 207 nt
Filed under: rhizosphere metagenome
Description: partial ribosomal RNA internal transcribed spacer region
Source: RNAcentral
GUAGGUGAACCUGCGGAAGGAUCAUUAUCGUGGGGCUCCGGCCCUAUCGAGAUAGAACCCUUGCCUUUAUAGUACCUUCUGUUGCCUCGGCGCCCGCCUCACGGCGGCGCCAAUGGGGCCAACCAAAAAAACCUUUUUAUUAAUGAGAAUCAGUCUGAAAAAACAAACAAAAAAUUAAAACUUUCAACAACGGAUCUCUUGGUUCUG